This 765-nucleotide ribosomal RNA is filed under the name uncultured bacterium. RNAcentral describes it as "bacterial SSU rRNA". It matches the Rfam family "Bacterial small subunit ribosomal RNA", at positions 23 to 777 of the family's 1533-position model. The record is from RNAcentral.
CUCAGAACAAACGCUGGCGGCGUGUCUUAAGCAUGCCAGUCGGGCGGCAAGGGCAGCGAUGCCCCUAGAGCGGCGGACUGGUGAGUAACGCGUGGGUGAUCUACCAUUAGGGCAUGGGGAUAGCCAUUAGAAAUAGUGGGUAAUACCGAAUACGCUUGCACAGGUGAAGCUGUGUAAGGAAAGGUGCUACGGCAUCGGCCUAAAGAUGAGCCUGCGUCCCAUUAGCUAGUUGGUGAGGUAAGAGCCCACCAAGGCGAUGAUGGGUAGCCGGCCUGAGAGGGUGUACGGCCACACUGGGACUGAGAUACGGCCCAGACUCCUACGGGAGGCAGCAGCUAAGAAUAUUCCGCAAUGGACGAAAGUCUGACGGAGCGACGCCGCGUGGAUGAAGAAGGCCGAAAGGUUGUAAAAUCCUUUUGCUGGGGAAGAAUAAGUCUGGGAGGGAAUGCCCGGAUGAUGACAUGAACCGGCGAAUAAGCCCCGGCCAACUACGUGCCAGCAGCCGCGGUAACACGUAGGGGGCGAGCGUUGUUCGGAAUUACUGGGCGUAAAGGGCAUGUAGGCGGUUUUGUAAGCUUGGCGUGAAAGUCCACGGCUCAACUGUGGGAUAGCGUUGAGAACUGCGAAGCUUGAGUUAUGGAGAGGGAGCUAGAAUUCCUGGUGUAGGGGUGGAAUCUGUAGAGAUCAGGAAGAAUACCAAUGGCGAAGGCAAGCUCCUGGCCGAUGACUGACGCUGAGGUGCGAAAGUGUGGGGAUCAAACAGGA